This is a long non-coding RNA of Perca fluviatilis (European perch), 817 nucleotides long. RefSeq lists it as uncharacterized. Lineage: Eukaryota; Metazoa; Chordata; Actinopteri; Perciformes; Percidae. The transcript has 5 exons. The record is from RefSeq and is a predicted model, not a curated record.
GGGCUCUGCACCUGGCGGGACGAGCAGCACAGGUAUCGGCAGCAGACGGUACCCUGUCCUAGAAGCAACCUUACUCCAAGUGGAAUGAUUCUUGUGGUGUGAGGAUGCUGUGGAAGUGUGUUCAUGGAGAACCUCAAGAACCUCAAGCAGGAAUUCUAUGAGAGCAUCGAUUGGCACAGUCCUCGUCUCCUCGAGUUAUUUCGAUCCAAGAGAGGUGUUGGACAGUUGUUGACACAUAUUUCACAACAGACCAAUACUACAGAGCCAACUGCCAUCCAGACACAGGUGCUCAGAGGGCUUCCUAUCAUCCUUGGGGACAAACUCACAAACUUCUUCAAAUAAAAGCAGGCUUUGAAUCGGAUGAUGAUGAUUCUUCUCGUGACCUUGACAUUGGGAUACUUCUCAUUGAGUGUGAAGGUGCUGGGCUCACAUCUUCCCAGCAUCUCAGUCCAGCCUUGUUGAAAAUCAUCAUUGAGGGAGAAGUCGUGAUGGACAACAUUCAAGAUCUGCCAAAAGCAUUGGGCAUUCUGUUUGGACUCACGUAUGCACUCCAUCUUAACAACCCCAAGACUAUGGAGCUCACAUUUCAGGUCAUCCAACAGGUAUUGCUCUUGUUAGACCGCACUGACCUAAAGCCGAAGCUACAGACUUUGAAAAAUCAGCUCGCAAUGUACAUUUGAGUGGGGAUUUCUUGUCAAUUUUGUUUUGUAUAUGGAUUUACCACUUUAAUCUCAGGGGACAUCCAUGUUUUUUUCUUGUAAAUUUGUGACACAUUCAACACCCACACAAGAACAACACAAACACGGACAACACCCAC